RNAcentral lists this ribosomal RNA (526 nucleotides) under Lysinibacillus sp. Its description in RNAcentral is "bacterial SSU rRNA". It matches the Rfam family "Bacterial small subunit ribosomal RNA", at positions 76 to 586 of the family's 1533-position model. Lineage: Bacteria; Bacillati; Bacillota; Bacilli; Caryophanales; Bacillaceae. The record is from RNAcentral.
GAGCUUGCUCCUUUGACGUUAGCGGCGGACGGGUGAGUAACACGUGGGCAACCUACCUUAUAGUUUGGGAUAACUCCGGGAAACCGGGGCUAAUACCGAAUAAUCUGUUUCACCUCAUGGUGAAAUAUUGAAAGACGGUUUCGGCUGUCGCUAUAGGAUGGGCCCGCGGCGCAUUAUCUAGUUGGUGAGGUAACGGCUCACCAAGGCGACGAUGCGUAGCCGACCUGAGAGGGUGAUCGGCCACACUGGGACUGAGACACGGCCCAGACUCCUACGGGAGGCAGCAGUAGGGAAUCUUCCACAAUGGGCGAAAGCCUGAUGGAGCAACGCCGCGUGAGUGAAAAAGGAUUUCGGUUCGUAAAACUCUGUUGUAAGGGAAAAACAAGUACAGUAGUAACUGGCUGUACCUUGACGGUACCUUAUUAAAAAGCCACGGCUAACUACGUGCCAGCAGCCGCGGUAAAACGUAGGUGGCAAGCGUUGUCCGGAAUUAUUGGGCGUAAAGCGCGCGCAGGUGGUUUCCUUA